GAGGAUGUAACUUAGUCUGGUAGAGUAUUAGCUUGUCACGUUAAAGGUCGUGGGUUCGAGUCCCAUCAUUCUCG
Fonticula alba is the source of this 74-nucleotide transfer RNA. It matches the Rfam family "tRNA". Rfam says of the family: Transfer RNA (tRNA) molecules are approximately 80 nucleotides in length. Their secondary structure includes four short double-helical elements and three loops (D, anti-codon, and T loops). The record is from Rfam. Lineage: Eukaryota; Rotosphaerida; Fonticulaceae.